GACGAACGCUGGCGGCGGGCUUAACACAUGCAAGUCGAACGGAAAGGCCCUGCUUUUGUGUGGUUCUCGAGGGGCGAACGGGUGAGUAACACGUGAGUAACCUGCCCUUGACUUUGGGAUAACUUCAGGAAACUGGGGCUAAUACCUGAUAGGAGCUCCUGCUGCAUGGUGGGGGUUGGAAAUUUUCGGCGGAUGGGGAUGGAGUGGGGGCUUAUCAGCUGGUGGGGUGAGUAGUUGCUAACCAAGGCUUUGACGGGUAGCCGGCAUGGGAGGUUGACCGCGCACAUUGGGACUGAGAUACGGCCCAGAGUCCUACGGGAGGCAGCAGUGGGGAAUAUUGUCCAAUGGGCGGACGCCUGAUGAAGAAACGCCGCGUGCGGGAUGACGGCCUUCGGGUUGUAAACCGCUUUAGCCUGUGACGAAGCGUGAGUGACGGUAAUGGGUAAAGAAGCACCGGCUAACUACGUG
RNAcentral lists this ribosomal RNA (468 nucleotides) under uncultured bacterium. RNAcentral's name for it is "partial 16S ribosomal RNA". It matches the Rfam family "Bacterial small subunit ribosomal RNA", at positions 28 to 507 of the family's 1533-position model. The record is from RNAcentral.